RNAcentral lists this ribosomal RNA (429 nucleotides) under Verrucomicrobiota bacterium. RNAcentral describes it as "Verrucomicrobia bacterium partial 16S ribosomal RNA". It matches the Rfam family "Bacterial small subunit ribosomal RNA", at positions 355 to 776 of the family's 1533-position model. Lineage: Bacteria; Pseudomonadati; Verrucomicrobiota. The record is from RNAcentral.
UAGGGAAUCUUCCGCAAUGGACGAAAGUCUGACGGAGCAACGCCGCGUGUGUGAAGAAGGAUUUCGGUUCGUAAAACUCUGUCGUUAGGGAAGAAAAAAUGUAUAGUAACUAUAUACAAAAGAGACGGUACCUAACCAGAAAGCCACGGCUAACUACGUGCCAGCAGCUGCGGUAAUACGCAGGUGGCAAGCGUUGUCCGGAAUUAUUGGGCGUAAAGCGCGCGCAGGUGGUUUAGAAAGUCGGAUGUGAAAGCCCACGGCUCAACCGGGGAGCGUCAUUGGAAACUAAUAAGCUGGAUUGCAGGAGAGAAAAGUGGAAUUCCUAGUGUAGCGGUGAAAUGCGUAGAGAUUAGGAGGAACACCGGUGGCGAAAGCGGCUUUUUGGCCUGCAACUAACACUGAGGCGCGAAAGCGUGGGGAGCAAACGGG